GCGGACUCUCUAAAAUAAGAUGAUUUGAAAGAAUUUUGGGAAAGUACAAUGUACAAUAUGUGUGAGUAUCAAUUUUCAAAAUGAAGAAAAUAUGAACGGAAUGUCAAUUUAUAUAAAGCGAUAAACAAAUAAAUAAUUUAUGCCACAUAAACAAAAGAAAUCAAGAUAAUUAGUAUGAAACAAAUAACAAUAUUUAAAAACAUAAAUAUUUACCUAAAUCUAUAACGGUUAGAGCCAUUCUCAAUCCCCUGCAGAGUCGCCAAACUGUCAUACUCAAUUUUUACCUAAGGUCAAAACGAGCACGACAUUAUGAACUCAAAAAGAAUUAAUUUUGUACAGAGUCGCCAGCUAAUUUUUAAGGAAAAAUAGAAAACCUAUUUAUUUAUUUAACAAGUAUGACUUUAUUUCAAUCUACGAAACCAAUUUAAAUUCUAGGUAAGGGUUCGAAUUAUUUCGAAGGGAAGAGAUUAGACACCCUUCAAAAUGCACAAAUACGAUUUCCAACCAGUCAGGUUUAUUAAAAGAGAAAAAAAAAAUCAAUAUUUUAAAUGCAACUAUAAAAUGUGUAUUAAAAUAAUAUAGACAAUUUAAUAUAAAAGUAUGAAUUAUUUGAUUAAAUAUGUGAAUCAAUUUUAAUAUAAAAUGUUAACAGCCUAAAUUUGCCUAAACGCGCGAUGAAUAUUUGUAUAAAAGUAUUCUCACCCCACGCCCCAAAAAAUAAAAUUUUCACUAUAAUUGAUAUUUGUACAAUGAUAAGAAUAAAGGAAAAUACAAAUACAAAAAAAAUUCAAACUCUUCUUUGAAUAUCAUUUCCGGCUAGUAUUCCCGAGAACCAAAAGAAUAUCAUUCCCGACGAGUAUUCCCGAGAAUCUACACAAAUGCUUGUAAUAAAAAUAUUAGUAACAAAUAAAUAAUUAUCAAAAUAAAUUUAAAAGGUAUGUGUGCAUAUAUGUAUUUAAAAAUAUAUUUUUUUGCUAAAAAAAUAGGCUCAAAUUAGAUUUAAGAUACAACUUGGAUACGAAGUAGUUGCUGAUUUGUUAGCCAUCCUAAAAAAACUUUUUGCGUUGUUAUAAAAAUUUCAUCAUCGCCCAAAUUUAUUUAUUUUAUUACGUAUUUAUAUAUGCAAUAUCCGUCUUUUAUAAUGAGAUGACCUCAAAUAUCUAAUCGGAGAGAUAAUUUCAUUGGAGAAUAGCAUAGUAUUUGUUCGUUAUUAAUUUAAUAAAAUUAAUAUGGACAAAAAUGUAAUGUAAUUGCCCAAAAGAGAGACAAUAGCAGCCAUGAAACUAGCAUAGCAACAACCCAAAACAAAGGCAAUAACAACUAUGAUACCCGCAAAGAAACAACCAAAAUAAAGGUAAUAACUGCUAUGACACCAGCAAAGUAACAACCAAAAUAAAGGUAAUAACAGCUAUGAUACCAGCAAAGUAACAACGAAAAUACCCGAACAAAUCACAAAUCUACUAAAGAUUUGAAAAAAAAUGAUAUAAUGAACAACAACAAAUAGAUCAAGCAAAUAAUUACAACAUAUACAAAUAUGUAUCAAAGAAGAGGUCAUCGGAUACGACAUCUUGUCUGCCAGAUCCGUGUAAAACAAAGCCCACAACAUACAAAAUUAAUGAGACGCAGUUCAUCAGAAGUAAAACUCGAAGCAAUGGUAAUUACCAUUACCGGCGUUGCUUUAACGACUUUCGCCGAAGCAACGCCGGAUACACAAAGCUCCGGACAGAUCUGGUGGUUUCUCACUGGGGGGAUUCGCCGGAAAUGCAAAAAAGGAGGGCGGCGCCGGUAGUUUGGGCUAGAGCUCGCCGGAGAUGGAGGAAGAGGAUAGAAGGGAGAGAGGGGUGGUGGUGCCUGGUGGUUUGCCGAAAUUCGGCCAUAGCUCACCGAAGAGAGGAGAGAAAAAAAAGGUCCACUGAUUUUGUGCGUAUGUGCUUGUAUUUUGUGUGUAGUGUGUGGGUGGA
RNAcentral lists this long non-coding RNA (1961 nucleotides) under Capsicum annuum. RNAcentral describes it as "long non-coding RNA (CANN_LNC010696)". The record is from RNAcentral. Lineage: Eukaryota; Viridiplantae; Streptophyta; Magnoliopsida; Solanales; Solanaceae.